Molecule: ribosomal RNA, 460 nt
Filed under: uncultured bacterium
Lineage: Bacteria
Description: partial 16S ribosomal RNA
Rfam family: Bacterial small subunit ribosomal RNA
Source: RNAcentral
CCUACGGGUGGCUGCAGUGAGGAAUAUUGGUCAAUGGGCGCGAGCCUGAACCAGCCAAGUAGCGUGAAGGAUGACUGCCCUACGGGUUGUAAACUUCUUUUAUAGGGGAAUAAAGGUAUCCACGUGUGGAUAUUUGUAUGUACCCUAUGAAUAAGCAUCGGCUAACUCCGUGCCAGCAGCCGCGGUAAUACGGAGGAUGCGAGCGUUAUCCGGAUUUAUUGGGUUUAAAGGGUGCGUAGGUUGUUGUUUAAGUCAGCUGUGAAAGUUUGUGGCUCAACCAUAAAAUUGCCGUUGAAACUGGGAGACUUGAGUGUGUUUGAGGUAGGCAGAAUGCGUGGUGUAGCGGUGAAAUGCAUAGAUAUCACGCAGAACUCCGAUUGCGAAGGCAGCUUACUAAGCCAUAACUGACACUGAAGCACGAAAGCGUGGGGAGCAAACAGGAUUAGAUACCCCUGUAGUC